RNAcentral lists this ribosomal RNA (566 nucleotides) under uncultured archaeon. RNAcentral's name for it is "bacterial SSU rRNA". It matches the Rfam family "Archaeal small subunit ribosomal RNA", at positions 311 to 879 of the family's 1478-position model. The record is from RNAcentral.
CGCGAAUUCGCCCUUCGGGGUGCAGCAGGCGCGAAAACUUUGCAAUACACGAAAGUGUGACAGGGCUAUCCCGAGUGCCAUCCGCUGAGGAAGGCUUUUACCCAGUCUAGAAAGCUGGGGGAAUAAGGAGAGGGCAAGUCUGGUGUCAGCCGCCGCGGUAAUACCAGCUCUCCGAGUGGUGUGGAUGUUUAUUGGGCCUAAAGCAUCCGUAGCUGGCUAAGUUAGUCCCUUGUUAAAUCCACCGAAUUAAUCGUUGGAUCGCGGGGGAUACUGCUUGGCUAGGGGACGAGAGAGGCAGACGGUAUUUUCGGGGUAGGGGUGAAAUCCUAUAAUCCCGGGAAGACCACCAGUGGCGAAGGCUGUCUGCUAGAACGCGCCCGACGGUGAGGGAUGAAAGCUGGGGGAGCGAACCGGAUUAGAUACCCGGGUAGUCCCAGCUGUAAACGAUGCAGGCUAGGUGUUUGGACGGCCACGUGCCGUUCUAGUGCCGCAGGGAAGCUGUUAAGCCUGCCGCCUGGGGAGUACGAUCGCAAGAUUGAAACUUAAAGGAAUUGGCGGGGGAGCAC